RNAcentral lists this ribosomal RNA (253 nucleotides) under uncultured bacterium. RNAcentral's name for it is "partial 16S ribosomal RNA". It matches the Rfam family "Bacterial small subunit ribosomal RNA", at positions 524 to 776 of the family's 1533-position model. The record is from RNAcentral.
UACGUAGGUGACAAGCGUUGUCCGGAUUUACUGGGCGUAAAGAGCGCGCAGGCGGUCGUUCAAGUCGAGUGUGAAAGCCCCCGGCUCAACUGGGGAGGGUCACUCGAUACUGAUCGACUCGAAGGCAGGAGAGGGUAGUGGAAUUCCCGGUGUAGUGGUGAAAUGCGUAGAUAUCGGGAGGAACACCAGUGGCGAAGGCGACUACCUGGUCUGUUCUUGACGCUGAGGCGCGAAAGCUAGGGGAGCAAACGGG